This 440-nucleotide ribosomal RNA is filed under the name uncultured bacterium. RNAcentral describes it as "partial 16S ribosomal RNA". It matches the Rfam family "Bacterial small subunit ribosomal RNA", at positions 338 to 795 of the family's 1533-position model. The record is from RNAcentral.
CCUACGGGUGGCUGCAGUGGGGAAUAUUGCACAAUGGGGGAAACCCUGAUGCAGCAACGUCGCGUGCGUGAUGACGUCUUUCGGUAUGUAAAGCUCUUUCUGCAGGGAAGAAGCUCACGGUACCUGCGUAACAUUCCCCGGCUAACUACGUUCCAGCCGCCGCGGUACUACGUCGGGGGCAAGCGUUAUCCGGAUUUACUGGGUGUAACGGGAGCGUAGACGGUGGGACAAGUCUGCAGUGAAAGCCCGGGGCUCAACCCCGGGACUGCAGUGGAAACUGCCGGACUGGAGUGCUGGAGAGGCAAGCGGAAUUCCUAGUGUAGCGGUGAAAUGCGUAGAGAUGAGGAAGAACCCCAGUGGCGAAGGCGGCUUGCUGGAGAGUAACUGACGCUGAGGCUCGAAAGCGUGGGGAGCAAACAGGAUUAGAUACCCUUGUAGUC